Molecule: ribosomal RNA, 684 nt
Filed under: Clostridioides difficile
Lineage: Bacteria; Bacillati; Bacillota; Clostridia; Peptostreptococcales; Peptostreptococcaceae
Description: bacterial LSU rRNA
Rfam family: Bacterial large subunit ribosomal RNA
Source: RNAcentral
UGGUCAAGUUAUUAAGGGUGCAGGGCGGAUGCCUUGGCACUAGGAGCCGAUGAAGGACGUGAUAAGCUGCGAUAAGCUUCGGGGAGUUGCACGUAAACUUUGAUCCGAAGAUUUCCGAAUGAGGAAACUCACUUAGAGUAAUGUCUAAGUAUCAUUAAGUGGAUACAUAGCUUAAUGAGGGGACCUCAGUGAACUGAAACAUCUAGGUAACUGAAGGAAGAGAAAGAAAUUCGAUUCCGUAAGUAGCGGCGAUCGCACGAGACUUAGACCAAACCAAUACAGUGUUAUGUAUUGGGGAUGAGGACAUAUCAUAACGAAGAGGUAUCGUAAUUGAAGAGGUUUGGAAAGACCCACCACAGAAGGUAAUAGUCCUGUAUGUUAAACGAGAAGACUUUAGAUAUGAUCCAGAGUACCACGGGACACGUGAAACCCUGUGGGAAGCAGGAGGGACCACCCGCCAAGGCGAAAUCCUACACAGUGACCGAUAGCGUAGAGUAGCGUGAGGGAAAGGGGAAAAGAACCCCUGGAGGGACGUGAAAUAGAACCUGAAACCCUGUACUUACAAGCUGUGGAGGCACAUUGCGUGUGUGACCGCGUUCUUUUUGUAGAACGGGCCAACGAGUUACGUUAAGUAGCAAGGUUAAGCACUUAAGGUGUGGAGCCGUAGCGAAAGCGAGUUUUAAC